CUGGGGUUCUACAUUGAACAGAAAGAAGAAAGUGAACUGGACCCUGGCAUCAUCUUUCUAUUUCCAGACUAAAGAUAUGCUGACCAGCUGCCUCGAGUUCCCACCUCAGGUCUUCCUCACCAAGCUGGACUGGGCCUUCAGAUUGUUCACAUAAAAGAAAUAAAGUGAAUCUCUGAAAAAAAGGAAGAGAGAGAUCCCUAAGUCCUGGCCAGUAAGAGAAAGGGGUUUAUUUUUGCUCACCGCUCCGGCUUUCCUUCUGGUGGUGCCCAGGCAACAGAAUCCAACAUCAUGACCUUGAAAGGCAGAAGCGUAGUCAUCCAGCUUUUCAAAAUCCACCACUUCUUGAUUCUAGACAAAGAAGAGCACAAUGGCAUAGAACUUCAUACACUUAAAAACGAGACAAAACACUUUGAGAUAUAAAGAAUAAAUGACAAAUGAUUAUCGGAA
Molecule: long non-coding RNA, 447 nt
Organism: Grammomys surdaster
Lineage: Eukaryota; Metazoa; Chordata; Mammalia; Rodentia; Muridae
Exons: 2
Source: RefSeq, a predicted model, not a curated record